CAUAUAUAUUUUAACUAUUGUUUUUAAAAUUAACUUCCUCCUUGAGUUGUGUUGCUCAAGCCUCUGUGAGGAAGGAUUUGAAUGAGCAGAAGAUGGCUGAACAGCACAGAUAAGCAAGAAGAGGGAAAAUAAAAGUGUUCAUAGCGUAAUGGGCAGCAUAGAAGUGACAAGGCUAGGAGGGAACAUGGGUGACAGAACAGAAGGUUGUUGGUCCA
This 215-nucleotide long non-coding RNA is filed under the name Cairina moschata (Muscovy duck). RNAcentral describes it as "domestica (muscovy Duck (domestic type)) lncRNA (ENSCMMG00000001429.1)". Lineage: Eukaryota; Metazoa; Chordata; Aves; Anseriformes; Anatidae. The record is from RNAcentral.